Molecule: ribosomal RNA, 548 nt
Filed under: Flavobacterium sp.
Lineage: Bacteria; Pseudomonadati; Bacteroidota; Flavobacteriia; Flavobacteriales; Flavobacteriaceae
Description: bacterial SSU rRNA
Rfam family: Bacterial small subunit ribosomal RNA
Source: RNAcentral
UGCAAUCUACCUUUUACAGAGGGAUAGCCCAGAGAAAUUUGGAUUAAUACCUCAUAGUAUUAUGAAAUGGCAUCAUUUUAUAAUUAAAGUCACAACGGUAAAAGAUGAGCAUGCGUCCCAUUAGCUAGUUGGUAAGGUAACGGCUUACCAAGGCUACGAUGGGUAGGGGUCCUGAGAGGGAGAUCCCCCACACUGGUACUGAGACACGGACCAAACUUAUACGGGAGGCAGCAGUGAGGAAUAUUGGACAAUGGGCGCAAGCCUGAUCCAGCCAUGCCGCGUGCAGGAUGACGGUCCUAUGGAUUGUAAACUGCUUUUAUACGAGAAGAAACACUGCUUCGUGAAGCAGCUUGACGGUAUCGUAAGAAUAAGGAUCGGCUAACUCCGUGCCAGCAGCCGCGGUAAUACGGAGGAUCCAAGCGUUAUCCGGAAUCAUUGGGUUUAAAGGGUCCGUAGGCGGUUUAAUAAGUCAGUGUUGAAAGCCCAUCGCUCAACGGUGGAACGGCCAUUGAUACUGAUAGACUUGAAUUAUUAGGAAGUAACUAGAA